AGUCACGAGUUUGAUCCUGGCUCAGGAUGAACGCUAGCGGCAGGCUUAACACAUGCAAGUCGAGGGGUAUUGGUUUCGGACCAAGAGACCGGCGCACGGGUGCGUAACGCGUAUGCAAUCUACCUUUACAGAGGGAUAGCCCAGAGAAAUUUGGAUUAAUACCUCAUAGUAUGUGAGAAUCGCAUGGUUUUCACAUUAAAGUUCCAACGGCAAAAGAUGAGCAUGCGUCCCAUUAGCUUGUUGGUAAGGUAACGGCUUACCAAGGCAACGAUGGGUAGGGGUCCUGAGAGGGAGAUCCCCCACACUGGUACUGAGACACGGACCAGACUCCUACGGGAGGCAGCAGUGAGGAAUAUUGGUCAAUGGGCGCAAGCCUGAACCAGCCAUGCCGCGUGCAGGAAGACGGUCCUAUGGAUUGUAAACUGCUUUUAUACAGGAAGAAACCCUCCCACGUGUGGGAGCUUGACGGUACUGUAGGAAUAAGGAUCGGCUAACUACGUG
Molecule: ribosomal RNA, 501 nt
Filed under: uncultured bacterium
Lineage: Bacteria
Description: bacterial SSU rRNA
Rfam family: Bacterial small subunit ribosomal RNA
Source: RNAcentral